RNAcentral lists this ribosomal RNA (375 nucleotides) under uncultured Clostridium sp. RNAcentral describes it as "bacterial SSU rRNA". It matches the Rfam family "Bacterial small subunit ribosomal RNA", at positions 524 to 898 of the family's 1533-position model. Lineage: Bacteria; Bacillati; Bacillota; Clostridia; Eubacteriales; Clostridiaceae. The record is from RNAcentral.
UACGUAGGUGGCAAGCGUUGUCCGGAUUUACUGGGCGUAAAGGAUGCGUAGGCGGAUGUUUAAGUGAGAUGUGAAAUACCCGGGCUUAACUUGGGUGCUGCAUUUCAAACUGGAUAUCUAGAGUGCAGGAGAGGAAAGUGGAAUUCCUAGUGUAGCGGUGAAAUGCGUAGAGAUUAGGAAGAACACCAGUGGCGAAGGCGACUUUCUGGACUGUAACUGACGCUGAGGCAUGAAAGCGUGGGGAGCAAACAGGAUUAGAUACCCUGGUAGUCCACGCCGUAAACGAUGGGUACUAGGUGUGGGAGUUGUCAUGACUUCCGUGCCGCAGUUAACACAAUAAGUACCCCGCCUGGGGAGUACGGUCGCAAGAUUAAA